CCUACGGGUGGCUGCAGUGGGGAAUAUUGCACAAUGGGGGAAACCCUGAUGCAGCGACGCCGCGUGAGUGAAGAAGUAAUUCGUUAUGUAAAGCUCUAUCAGCAGGGAAGAAAAUGACGGUACCUGAGUAGGAGGCCCGGCUAAAUACGUGCCAGCAGCCGCGGUAAUACGGAGGGGGCAAGCGUUAUCCGGGUUUACUGGGUGUAAAGGGGGCGUAGACGGCAGUGCAAGUCUGGAGUGAAAGGCGGGGGCUCAACCCCCGGACUGCUCUGGAAACUGUACGGCUGGAGUGCAGGAGAGGUAAGUGGAAUUCCUAGUGUAGCGGUGAAAUGCGUAGAUAUUAGGAGGAACACCAGUGGCGAAGGCGGCUUACUGGACUGUAACUGACGUUGAGGCUCGAAAGCGUGGGGAGCAAACAGGAUUAGAUACCCCUGUAGUC
Molecule: ribosomal RNA, 439 nt
Filed under: uncultured bacterium
Lineage: Bacteria
Description: partial 16S ribosomal RNA
Rfam family: Bacterial small subunit ribosomal RNA
Source: RNAcentral